UUUCCUUAAAAUGACUAGCUGUGCAAUUAGUGGUGGAUUAGUUAUUAAGUUAUUUAUUUGAAUUGAUAUCUAUCUAAUACUAAAAGGGUUAUAUAAGAAGUAGGGAGGCUGUCCACGUCAGCAAUUAAUUCAAGCCAAUAAAAACACUUUAUUCUGCCACGUCAUAACAGCCUCAAGUCGACAAGUAUAAAAAUCUGAUAACAUCUCUGGACCAAUAAUAAUUUUCAGUGGCCCACUUGAACCCCAUCUCAGAAAAACCUAAACUCUAAUAACAAACAAUAAUUAUCCGUCAAUUUUUUUUCUUCGUCGUUUGGAGGACUCACUGCAAUUCACCGUUAUCACACACAACCCACACUUCCUCAUUCAAUUAUUUUCUUAACUCAUUCCUUGAUGGUUUCGUUUCAACUUCCGCUGUUUCUCCUCCUUUAUAAUUGAAUGACGACGACGUAGUUCACCUUAAAGUAGGCCAGAUUCUUCCGGAUCCGUGACAAAGCGUCGGUGAGGGAUUCAGGUCGCGCCAUGGAGCUCCGAUCGACGAGCUCUGCCAAUGGGCGGCGUUGUGAUAAGAAGUCGCGGAUCGAGGUGGAUAGGCGUGAGAAGAAGGUAUGGAAGGCGGGAGUGUUGAUUGGUGGCUGAGAUUGAACAGCUUGCUGAUUGGUGACAGGGAGCAGUGGUGGAGUGGACAUGGCGGUGGCGCGUGAGGUUAGGUACGACUGAUUUGGGCGAGAGGUUUGGAUCUUAAGAUUGGAAAACAAAGAAGUGCAACUGGUGGAUCAGAUCUGAGAGAGAAGCCAUGAAAGAAGAAUAGAAGAGAGGUGGUGAAUGUGAGCGUGCGAGGAAAGGGUGUGAUGAGGAUGAUGUCUGUGUGAGAGAGAAAAAAAAGCCAAAGAGUGUUCUGUCUCAAUACAUAAGGUUGCGCCGGCCAAUACCUUCAAGUCACGGGUUCGACAUUUCCGUUUGCUUUUUUUUUGGAGAUCCUUAUACCUUUGUUAAUCAAACUAGACAUGGCAAAUUAAAUACCAAACCAAAUUACAAAAGUAAACCAAAAAUAUGAAUAACUAUUUUUUAUAUUUCUAACAUCCAAAAUAUUUGGAGUUAAAAAUCAAAUGAAUACUAAAAAAUAUAAUUUAGAUUUAAAACUAUUUUAAAACUAAAAUAUUUAAUUUACCUAUUUUCAAAUUAUUUGGUGUAUUUAAAAUAAUUGAAAUAAUCUGAUUUAUUUCUCUUUUUAUUUGAACCAUCCAAACUAUUCAAUAUUUAUAAAAUAUAUCAAAUAUAUCUAAAUUAUUAUUUAUGAAGUGAUUUUUAAUAUUCGAUCUCUCAUGUUAAAAGUUAGAGUGACUAAUAUCUAUGUUACUCUUAAUAAAUAAUUAAUACUAUCUAUUAUGUUAGACAUUGUCAAAAAAUAAAAACAAAUUUAAAAAUAGAGAAAAUGGCUAGGAUAGCAUUAAAUUUUUUUUUUGUCACAAAUAUACCCUCUAAGAAUAAAAAUGACCAAAAUAGCACUUAAUGUUUUAUCAAAAGAGAUACAUAUACACUUAUAUCUCAAUGGUAAAUUAAUUUAGACAUUAGGGUUUAGAGUUAAGGGGUGGAGUUUAGGGUUUAGGGUUUAGAGUUUAGGUUUUAGGGUUUAGAGUUGGGGAAUGGGGUUUUGGGAUAAGAUUUCAAAUUUUGAAAAAUUAAAAAAAAAUAAAAUUUUCAAAAAUAAAAUGAUAUUUUGGUCAUUUUAGUUUUUGAGAGCUAUUUUUGUGACAGAAACUUAGAAAUGUCAUAUUUUGGAGAUUUGCCCUUAAAAAUAAAAAUAUAAUUAUUCUAUAUACUGUGUUAUUAUCAAGGCAAAUCAAAGCUAUAGAAAAACAAAAAAACUCUCCAAACAUCUUUCUAUUUUUUAUUCAUGUCUUAAUAAUUUUUUAUAUUACGUCUUCAAAUUAAUUCUUCCGCCAAAGUCUAUCCUCAUCAAUUAAUUCAUAAACUGGAAAAAUCGGUGUACAACAUAUAAUAAAAUCUUAAUUUAAAUAAACAAUGAAAUUUGAUUUUUUCAUAGCUAAUCAUCUAAAAUUAAAAUAUUUAAAAGCAUUUUCCGCGCGUAGCGCGGACAAAGAUUCUAGUAGUUCUAAUAUUUUAAAGAUUUACGCCACAUAGGCAUAUACUUUAAAUAUAUUGCUUAUAUUUUCAUUUAACUCUAGUGAAAUUACAAAUAAAACAAAAUUUAAAAUAUUUAGUGAAAGUAAGAAAAAAUGAUUAAGAUGAAUAUUUUUUGUAAUUUUCUUGUAUUAAUGCGAAAAGAAUAUAAAUCUUAAGAUAUUUCAAUAAAUAUCUGACGACAUAUAUAUCUAUAAAUAUAGAUAUAUAUAAUUAAUAAACAAAAUAUAUUUGUUCAUUCUAUAUUAUAUCAUUCUAGCAUUUAGCACCAAAGCUAGGAAACUUAAAACCAGAAGGACAUUGUUUAUCGAUAUUUAAGAAGAAGAUCUCCUCCACUGAAAACAAACAUAAAAUAAACUAGAAAAUGAUUACAAAUCAUAAAGAAAAUGCAUAUAUCAAGGAGCUACAAAGUGAAGAUCAGAAAUAUAAAUAAAUGAGAAAGAAACAAUUUUAUUGACAUCGAAUGGACAAAAGGUGGAAUAAGAAGGGACCAUCGUCUCCAUUUUCAGAAGUCCUUUGGUGUUUGUGGUAUCACUUAAUAAAAAUAAAUUUGAUCCCAAAUACUUACAUUAAGGUCUUGGUCCUGCGGUAGUCUUUGGAUCAACUUUCUUUACUAAUACUAAAGUACAUAUGAUUUGAGUGGACGCAACUAAAAUAGCAUCUCAGGGACUAACACGUCAAACGUAACAAAUAUAAUUAGUGCAUCAGUAAUUUGAAAUUCUAGUCUAAAUAAGAUGAAACUUGGAGGCUGGAGCGACAAAUAAAAGAUAUGUGCUAGUCUAUUUUUUCUGUUGACUGAGCCCUCCUUUUAUAGUUGGGAAGUGUUCCGACGACAAAAGAUAGUUCGUCGUCCUUGUUGUCAAGGUUAUAUAUUCAUUUUAUCGGGUUAAGUCAUAUAUUCCCUGUAACAUAGAUGCAGCUCGCUUCAUCCUAAAGCAUUAUAUACCGUUUAAGCACUGUAAUGACCCACCUCCACUAUCCCCACUAUCUCCACCAUCUCCACCAUCCCCACCACUCCCACCAUCUCCACCAUCCCCAACUUCUUUAAAGAGAAAGAGAGAGAGGAGAGGAGAGAGAGAGAGAAAGAGAGAGAAAGCUCACCUGAGCUCGUCGCCGGAGCAACCGUGUGCCGUGAUCACGUUCAGCUUGCCACCCCCGAUAAACGCCCUAGGCCAUCAUCGUGUUCCUCUCGUCGAGACGAAGCCGUAGACACCAACCACGCCUCAAACGGAGCCCGGACGAAGCCGCACGCGCCUCCCGAAGAUUCGCCCCGGCGCGCGCGUGAAACGCACGCGCCACCGCCUUCCGCCGGAGCCACCGCGGAGAGAGAUGAUGUCUGUGUGAGAGAGAAAAAAAAGCCAAAGAGUGUUCUGUCUCAAUACAUAAGGUUGCGCCGGCCAAUACCUUCAAGUCACGGGUUCGACAUUUCCGUUUGCUUUUUUUUUGGAGAUCCUUAUACCUUUGUUAAUCAAACUAGACAUGGCAAAUUAAAUACCAAACCAAAUUACAAAAGUAAACCAAAAAUAUGAAUAACUAUUUUUUAUAUUUCUAACAUCCAAAAUAUUUGGAGUUAAAAAUCAAAUGAAUA
Long non-coding RNA from Brassica napus (rape), 3730 nucleotides. RefSeq lists it as uncharacterized. Lineage: Eukaryota; Viridiplantae; Streptophyta; Magnoliopsida; Brassicales; Brassicaceae. The record is from RefSeq and is a predicted model, not a curated record. The transcript has 2 exons.